CGGCUACGCCCACCUGGACCCAGUUUACCCUGUACUGUGCUGCAAAAUAUUACUUUCUCCCCAUCUGGAAUUCUUCCCUUCCUCCUUCCUGCCGCAGUGGUGUACUGAGCACUUUCACGUAAGAGUAUUCCUCCACUCGAACAACCCCCCGGAGAAGUACUGGUGUCACUGCCACCUGCGAGAGUUUGCGGCUACCUCCCCAAGAGGCAGUCCCAGGGUUAUUGUGACCUAUGAUGUUUAUUCAACUACUGUUGACGGGCUGCUGUGCACAGGGAACCUAGUAGGCAAGACCCCUGCCAUCGUGCAGCUUACUGUCAGGUUGACACAGACCUUAAGAAAGAACAAAAUUUUAAAUAAAUUAAAAACGAC
RNAcentral lists this long non-coding RNA (369 nucleotides) under Homo sapiens (human). Its description in RNAcentral is "non-protein coding lnc-CLASP2-1:1". Lineage: Eukaryota; Metazoa; Chordata; Mammalia; Primates; Hominidae. The record is from RNAcentral.